RNAcentral lists this ribosomal RNA (376 nucleotides) under uncultured bacterium. RNAcentral's name for it is "bacterial SSU rRNA". It matches the Rfam family "Bacterial small subunit ribosomal RNA", at positions 524 to 898 of the family's 1533-position model. The record is from RNAcentral.
UACGUAGGGGGCGAGCGUUGUCCGGAAUUAUUGGGCGUAAAGGGUGCGUAGGCGGCCUUGCAAGUCCGAUGUGAAAGACCACGGCUUACCCGUGGGGUUGCAUUGGAAACUGUAGGGCUUGAGUACUGGAGAGGAUAGUGGAAUACCCAGUGUAGCGGUGAAAUGCGUAGAUAUUGGGUGGAACACCAGUGGCGAAGGCGACUAUCUGGACAGUAACUGACGCUGAGGCACGAAAGCUAGGGGAGCAAACAGGAUUAGAUACCCUGGUAGUCCUAGCCGUAAACGAUGGGUACUAGGUGUAGGAGGUUUCGAUACCUUCUGUGCCGCAGUUAACGCAAUAAGUACCCCGCCUGGGGAGUACGGUCGCAAGACUGAA